This 700-nucleotide ribosomal RNA is filed under the name uncultured bacterium. RNAcentral describes it as "bacterial SSU rRNA". It matches the Rfam family "Bacterial small subunit ribosomal RNA", at positions 94 to 826 of the family's 1533-position model. The record is from RNAcentral.
AGUGGCGGACGGGUGAGUAACACGUAAGAAUUUGCCUUUAGGAGGGGGACAACAACUGGAAACGGUUGCUAAUACCCCAUAUGCUUUCGAGUGAAAUGGAUUUCCGCCUAAAGAGAAGCUUGCGGCUGAUUAGCUUGUUGGUAGGGUAAUGGCCUACCAAGGCGACGAUCAGUAUCUGGUUUGAGAGGACGAUCAGACACAAUGGAACUGAGACACGGUCCAGACUCCUACGGGAGGCAGCAGUAGGGAAUUUUCCGCAAUGGGCGAAAGCCUGACGGAGCAAUACCGCGUGAGGGAUGACUGCCUAUGGGUUGUAAACCUCUUUCUUCAGGGAGGAAUAAAUGACGUGUACCUGAAGAAUAAGCAUCGGCUAACUCCGUGCCAGCAGCCGCGGUAAGACGGAGGAUGCAAGUGUUAUCCGGAAUCACUGGGCGUAAAGCGUCUGUAGGUGGCUCGGCAAGUCAACUGUUAAAUCUUGAAGCUCAACUUCAAAAUCGCAGUCGAAACUAUCGAACUAGAGUAUAGUAGAGGUAAAGGGAAUUUCCAGUGGAGCGGUGAAAUGCGUAGAGAUUGGAAAGAACACCGAUGGCGAAGGCACUUUACUGGGCUAUUACUGACACUCACAGACGAAAGCUAGAGUAGCACAUGGGAUUAGAUACCCCAGUAGUCCUAGCUGUAAACAAUGGAUACUAGGUGUUGA